This 257-nucleotide long non-coding RNA is filed under the name Olea europaea (common olive). Its description in RNAcentral is "long non-coding RNA (OEUR_LNC009282)". Lineage: Eukaryota; Viridiplantae; Streptophyta; Magnoliopsida; Lamiales; Oleaceae. The record is from RNAcentral.
UUUUAAUCAAAAUACACUUUCAUGAACACUUACUGCAUAAAAACAGUUAUCAACAAAGAGUCCAACCAUGAUUCAGCACGAGAACUCUCUUUAACUUGCUUACCCAUCAACACAGAAUCUCCCCAAUGCAAAAGCUUCCUCUAAAGAAGGGAUCAAUCAUUUCUAAGCUCAUUCGUGCAUGGAAACUUUAACAGGCUAAAGGCACAGAACUUCAAGGGAAGAUAACUCACAAUUUCACCGAUGACAAGACAAGACAA